GUGCUAGUUUCAUCAGCACAUACACUAAAACUAGAAUGAUAUAAAAAUGGUUAGCAUGGCCCCUGUGCAAACAUAACAUUCAAAUUUGUGAAGUAUUCAAUAAUUUU
Non-coding RNA from Otolemur garnettii (small-eared galago), 107 nucleotides. Lineage: Eukaryota; Metazoa; Chordata; Mammalia; Primates; Galagidae. The record is from Rfam.